UAUGCCGCCCCACCGGAGAGCCCAAUAUAUCCAGCGCGUCGCCAUUGGUCGGCCAGACCACCGUAGCGGUGACGUAACAAAGGUUAUAAGUACGACGUCACAUGGGCAAGGGACGUCAGUUGAGCGCUUGGAACUGGCUUGGGUAUGUCGCAGCAGCGCUCCUCUUCACGGUUUACGUUUCUUGUGCGUUUUCUGUCAACGGACUGCUUCAAAGACAAUUCACGGUGGCAGGAAGGCUGAUCGACGGCGAGGAAGUGCCGCGUGCUUUGGGAUCGAACCACUACGUUGAAGGGUGACUACAUCACGAACGAGGGCCGCCGCAUCUGCGAGUUUGUCGUCUGCCGAAGCAGCGAAGGACGAGGAUUGAGAUCGGCCCGGCCUACUCUUCAAGUCACACCAAGGUGCGGGGAGAGAGAGAGAGAGUUCGAGCCGUGGGGGCCCGAGCUGUGGUGCUGGCGGACCCCAGGUUCCCUCCAACCCCCCCUCCUCCCAGAGGCAGCACAACGACGGCCUGCUGAGCCUCCUCCUCAUUCUCUACUCUCCGUGGGGUCGGAGGCAGCUCGAACAACCACGCGAUGGUCGCAUUCCAUCCUGCCACGCAUGGCCUGCCACCAGAAAAAAAGAAAGGGAAGGGUGCACACACCACUCUGAGGGGCAGCAGCAACUGCAGCGCCGGCCGAACAACGCGCCAAGCGAGGCGGUGGGCAUUUUUGGGGGCAAGGGUGUCGGUAAUAUGCCUCCUCGGACGCGAAAAGAGACAGAGAGAGAAUAGCCCUAACUUCACCAAGUAGCUAGUUCUCGAGUGAAAUCCAAGCAAGAUAGAGGUUCACAGUAGGAUGGAGACGCGACAGUGGUCGGACAAAGGACCUAUCUCUGGAGCCAUAGUUUUGACAAAGGGACCAACGUUUCGCGGGACAUCAGCUCCAGCGACAUUCUUUGUUCCACCACCGUUUAUUAUUUUCCGGGAUUUCCGUUAUACUACAAUAUCGCGCACGCCCUACUCGGGCAGCACCUAACCAUGGGUUCACGCUACUCGCGUAGCCGGCGUCAGUUGGAAAACUCGAGAGUAAAUUCAAAAGCGCGUUGUCGUGGUCAUCGCUGUAAAAAAAAAAAUGCAUCGAGAAGGUACUGGAAGAAACCAGGUAACUUCAGAUACAUAUGUAUAUGUAGAGAUGAACUUUAUUAGACAGGAGAUAGAUUUUGAGGUCGGAUGGUCGCGGAGUCCCUCAGUCCAAGGCUCCACUGACACCUGCCGCUUGCCUGCCGUGGCUAAUUAAGGAUUUUUGUCUUGCCAGGUCGGAGAGUAAGAUUCCGGCCGUGUAAGAUGUUCAGUGUUUGUGCACUGGCGUAGAGUGACGAGUUUUCACGCCAUGUGAGCCACUUAAGGAUUAUAUAGUUUACAGUAAACUGCUAUCGUCACUUGACGGCUGGGUCGGGCCAGUUAACGUGACACUUGCGCUGUAUGCACGUUUCGAAGUUGCGUCGGCAUAUAGAGCGAGACGAGAACUGUGUUGAAGCUGAUCACGACACUGUUGCCGGCUCAGUGCGGAUCGCUGCUUCUACGUCGCUGAAAAAAGUUCGUGCGACGUACGACGAUGUAUCGUGCGGCCUCGCGAGCGACGUCGGUGUACGGUUGUUAACGCGGCAAGAGAACGUCGAAACCGUUGUGUGGGCGCUCGUUACGUUCGCUUUGUCAGCAGAAAGAGCUUUCCCAUACCACACCCAACUGCUUCUUUUGUAUGAUAUGACAGAUAUGUAUGAUAGUUCUUUAAGUACGGGAAACAAUAACAGAAAAAAUAUAUGAGAGAGAGAGUCCUAAAAAGUUUACAUUAUCCUGUAUCGUGCAUUGGGAUCAGCCUUGCAGCUGUAAACGGGCUAUUCCGACACAGCGCGGAAUCCCGAGCCCGGGACGCCACCUCCAACUUCUUAAGAUGUAGAAAACCCUGCGCUUAUUGCGACUCUGCCGCUUUGCUCAAUCAGACCCAAUAGCUGUCUGUACGACUUAAGUAGAGUCGUGACGAACCCCUAUGCCGUGCUCCGUUCAUAUAUAGUGGCACGUAUUUUUGCUGCGUGACUGAACGCCCGACGGUGGUUCGAUGAAAACAAACAAAAAAUCGCGAGCCGUAACUGCCACGGUGUUAUAAGAAUACACCUAGGCGAAGGCCCAUUAUGACCGCGUCUGAAUGCGGCACAGGUAGUAUAUAUUUGUGCCAGCCAUUCAAGUUGAUGUGAUACAUAUAUACGAUUUCUGAACAGUAUACGCGAAACUCGUUUCCAACCUAUUCUUCACUCGGCGUUUGCACAUUCUGUUUUGACGGCGAGAAAUAUGUAGCUGCGGUGUUGUCGGGCCUUAUAUCCGCGUACCCCAUGGCAUAUGUAAACUGGAGAUCAGCGGAAAGAAAAAAAGAAGGAAAGUUAUCGAUAACGGCAGCUUGACAAAGUCACAGCCCCCCCCCCCCCCCCCUAGAUGUAGCAGCUGCCAGGCCACACGGUAUGUCUACAAAUACCAGAUGUGCAAACAAAAUUUAUUAUUGCAAAUCAACGCGCUGAAAACGGUCGCGAAGGAAAUUCUCGUCGAAAAACAACAUUCCGUAGGCGCGAGCAGAUGGUACGACAAUGUUUCCUUACCUCUCCUCCUUUUCAUCUUUGUUUUGAAAAACAGUGCAGAGAAUAUUUGCUGUAAAAGUAAUAUACACUCAAAAGGACGGUAACAUAAUCAAAGCGCUUUCAUUCAUUCAAUAUGAAUAAAAGCCAGCACGUAUAGGUUCUGAAAGGACCGAGUAGCCCGUGUACGGUGUUACAUCAGUGGCGCUUCAAACCUCGCGAAGAUCGCAUAUGCAACAAGAGUCCCGCCGGAUAUGUAGUGUGUAAGUCAUAUGUAUAUGCGCUGUAAGGUGCAUUCCCACAAAGCACAUUUCGGUCUCGGAUUACAUCGCCAUCAUGCGGCGUAUGGACGCGUUGAUGCCAACCAGCUGACGGCAGCCACGCCGGCAAAGAAAUCCGUCACAAAUUUGUUCUAGCUUUAGAAAUCGUAGGAAAUUAACGCCACGCGUAGCGCGUUUAUCGUAGGAGCCCAAAUCAGUUCCCCCUCGUCGCGUGGUUUCCUCUUUAUGAAUGCCGUAUACAUCACCAAUGACAUUUAGCGUGAACACCUAAUUAGUAUCCGUGCCCUGAUUACGGGUCACAUUAGGAGUCAAUUAACUAGCGCUAUGUAAAAGAGGUGUCUGCAUACUGCGUCCGUGUGGCAAAAAGUUUCCCGCACAGAAAAACAGCGUUAAAACGUGGGAUUAUCCUUUCUCGAAUGCUGAUCAGCUGUUCCCGCUGAGCCGUGAUCGGCAGGGUACAAAGAAACACCGCGGCCACCGUUUUCUUCACGGGAACCCCGCGCCUAUUCCACCUGCGCGCGGAGCGUGGCAGAGCAGUAGAUUAAUUUGCAGCGAUCUGAUAGAGAGGAUGCGCGGGACUCAACUGCGCCAUUACGCCGAGUAAUUUACCGAGUAAGGAACAGCAGCGCCCCCUUCCACCCAGCCGUAAAGCUUUCUCGUUGAGGAAAAUACUCCGUAGACGGUCCCGCGGCAGUUUUACUACCCUGACCUCCCAUAGCCUCGAAAAUGCAUCGCUUAAGCGCGCUAGACGAGGCCUCAAUGACACUAGCUCUCAUCCCCGUCCCCCCCACAACUUUCGUAACGGUGACUCCCAGUCGUCGUUUCGUUGAGACAAUGGCUUCUAUACAAACGGCUGCGCGUUCGCCGGAAAGCGAGCAGGGAAAAACAAAAAGGAAAGCUAAUGCCCCUGUCGCGUAUAUGUAUGUAUACAUAAUGGCGCGCUACAGCUCUGUACAGCUCUGCGGUUCCGGAUGAGGCAGUCUAGGAGUGAAGCGAGCAACCUUUUGUCGUACACUGCGGGAGAUGGGAGGGGAAGCUGCUGGUUGUGUUGAGGAAAACACGGAACGAAGAAGAAGAAUAGACGAGAACAACAGCAUUUGACAACAGACGGCUUCGGCCGUUUGAGGGCCUAGUCGGUCGGCGGUCACUUUACUGCGCAACUCGUUCGCUCGCUUCGCGCCGAUGAUGGCGUACCACACAAGAUGGAGGCCAGCUGUAGUAUACUAUAUACCUCUGUCGGGCGCGGGCGUCGCAAUUUCGCAACGCGGUUCUGGGGGCGCGAUAAGUUUUUUCGCAACUUGUGCGUAGGAAGGUAACUCAUGCGCCACGCUUUUGGUGGCUGACGCGGGGGGGGAGGGGGGGCGGAGAGGGAGUGGGUAACCCGACUCCUCCCCGCAUACGUUCGUUUCGAGAAGAGGCGUAGUAGGUGUGAUUAGGGCUGCCAUUGUUCGCGCUACGUGUGAUUUUCCGUCGCGUUUCAUUUGAAAAAGAGAGCGGAGAAAGAAAGCCAGAAUUGGAACAGUGGGGUCGGUAGCCAAAAUAAUUAAGAAAAGGCUGGGUCUGCGGUUUCAGUAGCGUUGAUAUUCAGGAAUGCGUGAAAGAUUGGUUCUGCUAGCGCGGAGGGGAUGGGUGGUUGUGUGAGGGGAACUUCUUGGGCGAGGAAAUUGUAAUUUGAUUUCUCGCUUCGGGAAAAAAUGAGUUUCUUUAUAGCAGCAAAGGGGCGCCAGAGAAGAUCGAUGGACAUUUCUACCAGUUUCAUUUCUUUAUUUUGUUUUGCGUUACACAGCUCCCACGUCCGGCUAUGACCCGAUUUCAAACCGCUUCAGUGAAACUACCCGCAAAAGAAAUGUCGAACGCUAAUCCUGGAGACACUAUACAGGAACACUGGCUCAUUUUCCGUUUUGACUUUCACGUGUAAGCACUCACCAUUAAUGUUUUCAUGCUGAAUGCGUCGAGCGGCCUUAACAUUAACCUCCCGAAGUUUCAAGUGUACUUUUAUUACCAUCUUUUUUGAAACUAGCGACUGCCAUUUUUCGGGGCAUGACUUAGCAGGCCACGAGGAAAACACGUGCACGGAUACGACACUAAACUUCGCGAGCGUCGGCCGAUGCGUUUGACGUCACGGCACGGGCUGCUCGUCGUUCGAGUCGUGGAGUGUGCGUUUUUGAAACACCGUGGAAACAAGCGAAGAACAGUCACAGUCUGGUUACACAGCGGCUCUAAGUUCAAAUACAUCCAAAACCUACUACAAAUCGAGAAAGCUUCUCCAGCGCUGAGGCGAGACUUGGAGAUGACGUCACGCUUCGGUCGCGGGUUUUUCGAAAUCACUUCUGCGGCUCGCUUUUGCGGCCGGCUUCCUUCGAUCGCCUGAGCUCUAUUUGGAUCGAUUAUUGGUUAAAGCAUCCCGUGAUUAUUGAGCGUCAGGGGUGCGAGGAAGUGUAGGAGAUAUUAGCGGGCAAUUUCUUUUUGUGUUGUCCGGCGCCACGGGAAAUGUACAAACAGGGGAGAAAAGUGUAAGGUUUAAGGGUGGUGUGUUCGUACGGCACGCGGUGGUAUACUUUGCCAAGGCAAAACGGUGCGUAAACAUGUCAUGAAGCGUGAAGUGCAUAGACUGGUUGAGGAGGCACUAGAAACUGUCCUCAAAACUUAUCUAGCACGAGCUGCAGUCAUCCCUAUAUAGUGGGCCAGGGAGCCCCAGCUUUCUUUAUAUAGUUAAUGGACCGCUUCUUGCAUUUCGUCGCUGGUGAGCCGUUCCCGCCCAUUAAAAUUCAGCCAGCAGAAAACGUUAAUGCGCCUUCGAAUGGAAAUCGUCCUUCGUGUUGGCCUGAAAAUGGAGCUCUUGCGUUCUCUCAGUCUUUCGGUUUUGUUAAGCGAGAGCCUCGCGCUGCGUCGCGAAUUCAAAUAUAGGCCGAGGGCACGCUAAGCAGAGAGAAAGAGAGAGAGAUAAAAUGUUGUGGCGCGUUUAGGCAAGCUAACACCAGCUGCUUCUAUUACGGAACCGAAGGGGAGAGAGGAAAGAAAAAAAAAAAAGGUCAUGCGGAUGUCGCAGGCCUGUGCGAGUUGGUUCAUAUUGGUUUGUUCCGAUUUUGCGAAGCCGUCUGCGCUGCGCUUUCCGCACCAAGCGUUAACGUGCUUAGUGAUCGUUGUCAGAGAAAGGCGACAGAUUGACGGGAAAUUCACGGCAGUGCGCCUUUGGCGGGCCACCGUGGCGCCUCUCUAUUUAUUGAGCGCGAGCGCCGUUAUAUGCUAGACUUGCGCUACUCUCACCUCGUGCUUUAAGCUCAGAAAGUCGUAAUGCUAAAUUUUCGAUGCGUCGCUGUGCUGUUAGAAGUAACGUCGCGCCUUUUUUGUAUAGCGGGCAAACUUUUUUUUUUCUUUCGUUUUGAAAACUAAACAGCAGCAGCUCAACAGUAUAAUGCGAGGUAUAUGGCUGAAUAGGCAGCGGGAAGUUUCUGUUAGGUGGCCGAGCCAUGUCGAAGAGCGUCGGCCGAACUUGUAUGAUUAGGGUGAUGAAAUAAACAGCGCUUUUGAACGGUGCAUAGAGCAGACGGCACACACGAACAACACUGUACACGAACGCUGAUCUUGUUUGUCGUCUGCUCUAUGUCCUGUUUCAAAAGCGCCGUGUCGUCACCCGUGCACGCACCGAUUGGCCCAAAUAAACGCACUCUGCUUAUAUA
Dermacentor andersoni is the source of this 6565-nucleotide long non-coding RNA. RefSeq lists it as uncharacterized. The record is from RefSeq and is a predicted model, not a curated record. NCBI's taxonomy places the organism in Eukaryota, Metazoa, Arthropoda, Arachnida, Ixodida, Ixodidae.